This is a non-coding RNA of Myotis lucifugus (little brown bat), 76 nucleotides long. The record is from Rfam. NCBI's taxonomy places the organism in Eukaryota, Metazoa, Chordata, Mammalia, Chiroptera, Vespertilionidae.
GAGACACCCUUAUGGGGCAGGACUUGCUUCAGUGGGGCUUUGGUGCUCACUGAGUCUAUCCCCUGAGUGUGUCUCU